GUAGCAGGAAGUGCUUGCACUUCGCUGACGAGUGGCGGACGGGUGAGUAAUGCUUGGGAACUUGCCUUUGGGUGGGGGAUAACAGUUGGAAACGACUGCUAAUACCGCAUAAUGUCUACGGACCAAAGGGGGCUUCGGCUCUCGCCUUGAGAGAGGCCCAAGUGAGAUUAGCUAGUUGGUGGGGUAAAGGCCUACCAAGGCAACGAUCUCUAGCUGUUCUGAGAGGAAGAUCAGCCACACUGGGACUGAGACACGGCCCAGACUCCUACGGGAGGCAGCAGUGGGGAAUAUUGCACAAUGGGGGAAACCCUGAUCCAGCCAUGCCGCGUGUGUGAAGAAGGCCUUCGGGUUGUAAAGCACUUUCAGUUGUGAGGAAAGGUUGGUAGUUAAUACCUGCCAGCUGUGACGUUAACAACAGAAGAAGCACCGGCUAACUCCGUGCCAGCAGCCGCGGUAAUACGGAGGGUGCGAGCGUUAAUCGGAAUUACUGGGCGUAAAGCGCACGCAGGCGGUUUGAUAAGCGAGAUGUGAAAGCCCUGGGCUCAACCUGGGAACUGCAUUUCGAACUGUCAGACUAGAGUCUUGGAGAGGGGAGUGGAAUUCCAGGUGUAGCGGUGAAAUGCGUAGAUAUCUGGAGGAACAUCAGUGGCGAAGGCGGCUCCCUGGCCAUAGACUGACGCUCAUGUGCGAAAGUGUGGGUAGCGAACAGGAUUAGAUACCCUGGUAGUCCACACCGUAAACGCUGUCUACUAGCUGUUUGUGAAUUUAAUUCGUGAGUAGCGAAGCUAACGCGCUAAGUAGACCGCCUGGGGAGUACGGCCGCAAGGUUAAAACUCAAAUGAAUUGACGGGGGCCCGCACAAGCGGUGGAGCAUGUGGUUUAAUUCGAUGCAACGCGAAGAACCUUACCUACUCUUGACAUCCAGGAAAUUUUUCAGAGAUGAAUUAGUGCCUUCGGGAAU
RNAcentral lists this ribosomal RNA (961 nucleotides) under Alteromonas sp. Its description in RNAcentral is "bacterial SSU rRNA". It matches the Rfam family "Bacterial small subunit ribosomal RNA", at positions 69 to 1027 of the family's 1533-position model. The record is from RNAcentral. Lineage: Bacteria; Pseudomonadati; Pseudomonadota; Gammaproteobacteria; Alteromonadales; Alteromonadaceae.